AGCAGCCGCGGUAAUUCCAGCUCCAAUAGCGUAUAUUAAAGUUGUUGCAGUUAAAAAGCUCGUAGUUGAAUUUCGGGAUUGGCGCAUCGGUCGUGCCUCACGGGGUAUGAACUGGUGCAGUCAAUUUCUCACCUUCUGGAGAACCGCGAUGUCCUUAAUUGGAUGCCGCGGGGAACCAGGACCUUUACUUUGAAAAAAUUAGAGUGUUUAAAGCAGGCAUUUUUGCUUGAAUACAUUAGCAUGGAAUAAUAAAAUAGGACGGCAUGGUUCUAUUUUGUUGGUUUCUAGGACCACCGUAAUGAUUAAUAGGGAUAGUUGGGGGCAUUAGUAUUCAAUUGUCAGAGGUGAAAUUCUUGGAUUUAUUGAAGACUAACUUCUGCGAAAGCAUUUGCCAAGGAUGUUUUCAUUAAUCAAGAAUGAAAGUUAGGGGAUCGAAGACGAUCAGAUACCGUCGUAGUCUUAACCAUAAACUAUGCCGACUAGGAAUCAGACGAUGUUAAUUUUUAAUGACUCGUUUGGC
Molecule: ribosomal RNA, 520 nt
Filed under: uncultured Entrophospora
Lineage: Eukaryota; Fungi; Glomeromycota; Glomeromycetes; Entrophosporales; Entrophosporaceae
Description: SSU rRNA
Rfam family: Eukaryotic small subunit ribosomal RNA
Source: RNAcentral